This 1070-nucleotide long non-coding RNA is filed under the name Notechis scutatus (mainland tiger snake). RNAcentral's name for it is "lncRNA (ENSNSUG00000012338.1)". Lineage: Eukaryota; Metazoa; Chordata; Lepidosauria; Squamata; Elapidae. The record is from RNAcentral.
GUGGAAAGGUUUGGUUAGGAGGGAGGCAGAGAUCAGUGGUCUCUUUCUGGCGACCCUCAGCCCCACCUGAAUUCAAGGAAAGAGUUCGAUACAAAAGCAAGCUCCAGAAAUCUGUGUGGGUAUUUCUUUCUUUCUUUCUUUCUUUCUUUCUUUCUUUCUUUCUUUCUUUNNNNNNNNNNUUUCUUUCUUUCUUUCUUUCUUUCUUUCUUUCUUUCUUUCUUUCUUUUUCUUUCUUUCCAUCUCUCAAUUUCCUUCCUUCCUUUCCUCCCUCCCUUCCUUUUACACCAUCUCUCAAAUUUUUCCUUUUUCCUUUCCUUCCUUCCAUCUCUCAUUUUCCUUCCUUCCUUCCCUUCCUUUUACACCAUGUCUCAAUUAUUCCUUUUUCUUUCUUUCCCUUUCUUUCUUUCCUUCCAUCUCUCAAUUUCCUCCCUCCCUCCCUUUUAUACCAUCUCUUAAUUUUUUCCUUCUUUCUUUCUUUCUUUCCUUCCUUCCUUCCUUCCUUCCUUCCUCCCUUCCCCAUCCCCACCUUCCAGACUUUCUCUCCAAGAAAACAAACAACUAAGGAGAAACGAGCAGCACAAUUUUUCUCCCCCUCCAAGGUUUUAUUAUGUAGGGUAUGGGGGUUAUUGUGGGGGGACAGGACGAAUAAGCCUUUUGAUUCCAUUGGUUUUAUUCUCUUUCCAUUUUGCCUUGAGAUGCUGUUGAAAGCGGCUUCAGAGGCAGAUGGGCAGGAUUCCCUCUCUUGCUCGGGGAAAGGGGGUGUCUUGGGACCCAAUCCACGGGAAAUCUUUCCCAUCCACAAGGGAAGAAGAAAUGAUCCCCAGGGAUCCGACCUUGCAUCCACCCAUUCACUGGGGUUGGCGGGGGUUUUUUUUUUUUGGUUUCGGAAAGGGUUGAAGGGAUCUAAUUGAGAAGGCUCAAUUGAACUUUGGUGCUGGAGAAGACUCCUUGGACUGCAAAUCAACCCAACCGUGACUGCUGUUUAGAAGGCCAGAUCCUGAAGAUGAAACUCAAAGACUUUGGCCACCUAAUGAGAAGGAAGGACUCACUGGAGCUGGGAAAGACUAAGG